CUUCGUACCUCGAUAUAUUUCUUUUUGAGGUAGUCACAUAUGAUAUGAUUUCAUUGCUCGAUGUACUUUGAUUUUUGAUGAGACCUCGACUCUUUAGCAAGUGCUAUGGCUCCAUUGUUGUCGUAGUAGAGCAGUAUAGCAUCCGAUGUCAUAACCUCAAGUUUCAUGAUAAACUUUUUGAAUCAGAAGCCAUCCUUUGC
Molecule: long non-coding RNA, 200 nt
Filed under: Elaeis guineensis (African oil palm)
Lineage: Eukaryota; Viridiplantae; Streptophyta; Magnoliopsida; Arecales; Arecaceae
Description: long non-coding RNA (EGUI_LNC060247)
Source: RNAcentral